Molecule: long non-coding RNA, 1160 nt
Organism: Triticum dicoccoides
Lineage: Eukaryota; Viridiplantae; Streptophyta; Magnoliopsida; Poales; Poaceae
Exons: 3
Source: RefSeq, a predicted model, not a curated record
CCCCGACCUGUUCGAUCCCCAAUCUAACCCCUCUCUCUCUCUCUCUCCAUCUCACCAUCCACACACCCUAACCCUAACCCGACCGCGCCGCCGCUCCCAACCUGCGCGCCUCCGCCCCAAACCACCCGCCGGUCCCCCGCGCCACCACAUCUCGGACCCCGGCCUCCCUUCCCUUAGUCCGCAGUAGCAGCAGCGCCGUCUGCGACGGAGCAGCGCCGUCCGCCGCCGAGGAACAGCAGCGCUGUCCGCCACCAAGGAUCCGCCGCGCGCCGGGAACAGCAGCACCAUACGCCGGAGGAUCCGCCGCACCGACUGCUGUUGAGGAGGAGCCCGCCGUUCUUCCUCCACCGGCGACCCCUGUCCCGGCCCCGCCUCUAGAUUUCAACAAGAACAUUAUCUCAGCUGUUGUUGAUUUCAGAACAGAUCGUUGGCAUUGUACCUUCAAGGGACUAUCCUUUUGCCUACUGAGCACACAAAACAAAUGUGUCUAUAUAUUUAUUUAAGUGAAACAACAUGCUUCCAUUUUUGGUCAAUCGGUGGAUCUGACUAAUACAUAACUACAUAUAUAUGUGUGAGGUAUUAUUCAUGUGUCAUUUUUCGUAAUUCAAGUAAGCUGAAACUGAUGGUCUCAGAUGGUUUGUGUAUUAACUUUGAUCAGAACCUGCAUCUACAAAUACUGAGUAGAGGGUUGCCUUUUGUGCAGGAAUUUGCAGCAGGAUCCCUUGCCUGUGCUCUCCGCUUGUCCUCACUCCUUAGACCUUCCCUUUGCUUAUCACCAUACAUUUUAUUCAGAGUGGUGUCAAGAUGCAUCUCCUCUGCCAAGAUGAUGGGCAGAGGGCCUAAGCUCUAGGGUCAAAUGGCGGGAAGUAUCAAGUCAAAGAUAUUAUGGCUUUUGUACAUCUUCUAUUUUCUUUAAAUGGAAGUUGGUGUUGGUUUGGUAAUCGAAGACUUGGGCUCUUCCAUAGUGUUUUGUAGAGUGAUCGAACACUUAAGUCUCUUAUGAACUAGGCCCAUAAUUUGUAACAUGCCACAACUUGUAUGUUGAGUUGAGUAUUUGUUUCAAUGGUUGUAACAAGGAAAACUGAUCUUCUAUAUAUGUUGAAUAAAUGCUUUGGUCAAUGGCAUUUUGUGAUGAAUAGAAGAGUGUAAUUGUUGGUAUA